RNAcentral lists this ribosomal RNA (253 nucleotides) under uncultured bacterium. RNAcentral's name for it is "partial 16S ribosomal RNA". It matches the Rfam family "Bacterial small subunit ribosomal RNA", at positions 524 to 776 of the family's 1533-position model. The record is from RNAcentral.
UACGUAGGGUGCGAGCGUUGUCCGGAAUUAUUGGGCGUAAAGAGCUCGUAGGCGGUCUGUCGCGUCGAAUGUGAAAACCCGGGGCUCAACUCCGGGCUUGCAUUCGAUACGGGCAGACUAGAGUGCGGUAGGGGAGAAUGGAACUCCUGGUGUAGCGGUGGAAUGCGCAGAUAUCAGGAAGAACACCGAUGGCGAAGGCAGUUCUCUGGGCCGUAACUGACGCUGAGGAGCGAAAGCGUGGGGAGCGAACAGG